This 1752-nucleotide ribosomal RNA is filed under the name Triticum aestivum (bread wheat). Its description in RNAcentral is "partial small subunit ribosomal RNA". Lineage: Eukaryota; Viridiplantae; Streptophyta; Magnoliopsida; Poales; Poaceae. The record is from RNAcentral.
AUGAAGAGGAAGCCACUCUUGCUAUGUCCAAAGCAAUGCAAAAUUGAAAACGGCAAGUACAAUAGUCAGGAGCCAAGUCCCAUUGAGUUUUUCAAAGAGACCCAUACUAACAGCAUGAGCGAGCCGACACAUCUAGCUUAUAUUAAACCUGAGAAGGCUCGAAAUUGGUUUAGUUUUACUGUCCUAAAUAAAACACCGGACACCAAGUUCUGGCUUUUCGAUUUGUGCAACACAUUAAGCGACGUCAAGUUUGUUGAGAUCCUUGUUACGUUGUGGUCCAUCUGGUAUGCACGACGCCGGGCCAUUCACGAGAAUAAAUUCCAAAGUCCCCUAUCAACGCAUCUCUUCAUCAACAGGCUUACAAUCUCAUCAAGACUAAAACCUGAGCGCAACCAGACAGUUGCACAUGGAGAAGAACGCCCCAACUGGGCAAGUCUAUGGCAAACAAUGUUUCGAUCACGAGAUAUAGCAACAAUUUUAAGCUCUCUGUCUCCUUGGAGUAAAAGCUUGAUUUCAACGAUCAAAGCCGCCACAGUUGAUCUAUUAGAAAAGCUUCAAGUUUCUUCUGACCGUCUGGGAGUCAAGGAGAUCGAGUCGGCAAAUAAUUUUGGAGUUCACUCCGGAUCCCCUGACCUACGGCCACCUGACGUUGGGCCACUGACGCGUGGGUCCGGGUCCACACGUCAGCGAGUGCGCCGUACGUCAGAGGAGCUGCGUCCCCAUCUCACAUCUGCUCCAUGGCCGCCGCCCUCCUCAAACUUCCUGGCCGGCGCCGCCGCCCUAAAUCGUUCCGGCGCCGCUCGCCCUCCACUCUCCCGACCUCCACUACUGGUCGUCUCUCACCUCCACCACCGCCGCCCGGCUCCGACCCUUGCUGCAUCCGCAUCCCACCUUCGUCGGACCACUCCGCCCAACACGGCUUCCCUGGACGCGAUGAUUGUACCCCGUGCUCCCUGCUCCAGAUCUGGCAGCGGCCUCCUCCUCUCCGUUUUGUCCAAGCCAGUUGAUCCAUUUUUCUGUGAAUCUAGAUCUGAGGGCAUCCGGAUCUUGAUUUCCUUCUUUUGCUGGCUCAUUGGUGAAAAGAGUAGGCUUCUCCCGACCUCUCCAAUCGCCGCCGCCAGCGCCAUCACGCACGAGAGCACGCGUGCACGCGACCCGCGCCUCCUGCCGCCUUCCGCCGGUCCCGGCCGCUGCCGCCGCGAGCCCGCCGACCACCACCAUGCCUCCUCCUUUCCUCUCCUCUCUCUCUCUUCCUUCUCUCCCGUCUCAAGGCCGCGUGCCCCUACGGGUCACGGCCAUGGCCGCCGCCUGAGCACAAGCUCCAGCCGGCCGCCGCACCUGGCUGCGCCAUCCGCCGUCCCUGCGGUGGGUGGCGGCGGCGGCGGCAGGGCAGUGGGUGCUGGCGGCGCCUCGUCCCAGCUGAGGCAGCUCUCUUUUUUGAGUCGCUCGACUCAUAUAUGUCGACUAGUCCAGACUAGUCGUCGACUAGUCCAUCCACGGCUCGACUCGUUUUGUUUCUCAUCUUUAGAAGUCUUUGUAGUGGAAGGAAGGGCAAGGCAAAACCUGUCUCAGUCUCUCCUCAUAUGCACAACGCCACUAAUCCAUUCCUCUAAUCUUCUCCUGAACACAUAUUUGGUCGCAGGGAACACCGAGUUAUCCUCUGUUAGCUUGGAGGAUGGUGCUAUGGGCGACCACGUCGGCAAUGGCAACAGCGAAGGCAACAAUGAUGUUGAGAACAUGGUGGUAGCCUAA